CCCUGGACUCCUUUCUGAGGCUUCAUGAAAGAUAGAGGGGGGUUUCACAUAACUGCAUUUCAAAUAACUCUAAGGCUCAUGACACCAAGAUACUUUUUAAGGUUUUAGAAAACUUGCCCUCCUCUGCUGACCAUGCCAAGAUGCACUGGUGGCUUUGGUUUGCCUUAUUUUGCCAUCUUCAGUUUUAAAAGUAUUGAGAGACAGAGGAUGCUUGUUUGUUUUCAUUUUGUUUUAAUUCCAGAAGCUAAGUAAUCACUUAAUAUAUAUUUUCUUUGACAAUUAACAAAAGUGAUUCAUACUUUUUGUGGAAGUCUAUUUUCUUUCCAGCAGCACACGCCCACAUUUCUUUGGUGACUUACAGAGCAGAACAAUAAGCACCGAAUCUGUUUUUCACCAACCAGGAUUCCUCGCCAGGCUUUUCCCAGCAUACUCACGCAGAUGGAAUUUCUGGCUCACGCUUCGUCCUUUUGCUGUUGUUGUUGUGUUUGUUGAGGUUGUUGUUAGGUGUUUUCCUCUGAACUGAAAAAGGGAUAUAUCUAUGCUCUCCCUGAUCUCUCGGGAAGCUGACAAAACAAAGAAGCGUACGUGCCCAGCACACACAGCCCCGCCCAACCCUGUGGUGUAGUUUGUCCUGCCCAAACACAUGAACCACAAAGUGCGCUCAUUCACAAACACACAACUUCCUUUCCUGAACAACAGCGCCUCCCGCUCCCGCUGGAAAGGGUGUCCCCAGCUGUCUGGGAGAUGUCCUGCCCCGCCGCACGGGGGUGGAAUUUGCAGUUUUGCAGAGGAGUCACCAAGACGAGGCAAUUUGCUUGCUCUUGGUAAAGUUGUUUUGUUGUUGUUGCCGUUGAUUCUAUUUCUCUUUCUGGAACUGAAAUGUUGGCCUUUGGAGAAUUCCUGCGCUAUAAGGAGUACACAGACUUGGGAAAACUUAGCACACCAAGAGAAGGAGUGGCACUAUGUGUUUUGCCAAAACCCAUCUGAAAUUUCCUGUUUUCCACGUUUGGGAUGUAACGUUAACUUUUAGGGUCAGAGUUGCUCUCUCCCGGGGAAGUUGCAACUUUUUAUUCCUGACUUCUUCAAGGGCUUGUGAAAGAUCUCCAAUGUGCUUCUACAAAAGAUACAAAUGCCUUUUUAAGAAAACCCUCUGUGAGCUGCACUCAUUGGAUCUGAAACCAGAUGCAUUCAAUUUGCCUUUAAGUCUUCACCAGCUCAUCCUCAAGGAGGGAGGUAUCCAGAGAGGCUAAUGGAAGAGACAGGCUUUGGGAUUUAUUUGCAGAGAGGUUAGGCAUUCAGACAUGUGGAAAGAGAGAUGAAAGGAAAGUGCACCUGAGGCUGAACAAGUGACUAAAGGAGAAGCCACUGUGCCUGUCGAAAGAACAAUGAAUAAUCCAGAAUUGAUAGAUAAGUAAGACUGGGGAAGGAAGAGAAAGGAAGACACAGCCUCUGAGAGCCGGAUGAAGACACAAAUGGGAUGGAGGCUGCGGCUGUUAAACCAUCAGGACUCAGCGGCUGUUAAACCAUCAGGACUCAGCAAUUAUUUCAUGUGGAGACAAGUGAUGGCAAAGCCAAAAGGCCACGGGUGUUGAGCUGUUGACGAGAAACUGAAAGUGCCAUUGUGUUUAUACAGGAAGCUGCCAUUAGUAGGGAUUUGAAAAAGCAAGAGGAGAGGAUGAGUUUAGUGGGGAGUUCUUACACUUCAGGUGCUAGUGGAUACCACCAAGUCAAUAUUGAGUAGCAGGAAACCAGGGCCUGAUGUUCCGUCAGGCCAUCAGGGCGGAGACAUUGUGGAGAGGAAGUUUUGAGGCUGUGAGAUUAGGAGAGAAGCAUGGAGUGUAGAGCAGGAACUAGGCCUCUCUUUACCCAAAAUCCAAAACCCCACUUAUGCCAGACACACUCAAUACUUUCUGCUGGGAUCCUCAAUUCUCAUAAAGUUUUCAUAAUAAGGCCGGGCGGGGUGGCUUAUGCCUGUAUUCCCAGCACUUUGGGAGGCCGAGGCGGGCGGAUCACCUGAGGUCAGGAGUUCAAGACGAGUCUGGCCAACAUGGUAAAAACCUGUCUCUACUGAAAAUACAAAAAUCAGCCGGGCUUGGUGGUAGGCGCCUACAGCUAGUCGGGACGCUGAGGCAUGGGAAUCGCUUGAACCCAGGAGGCAGAGGUUGCAGUGAGCCAAGAUCAUGCCACUGCACACCAGCCUGGGGGAUACAGCAAGACUCUGUCACAAUAAAAAAAACAAAAAGUUUUCAUAAAUUGGGAUGUUUCCUCUAUUCCUUCCCCUGUCUCAUUCUUGAGGGAUUGAAGAUAGUGUUUGAAAUCUCACUGGCAACCCUUCCUGCUCCCUUUCCCAGCAGUUCCAUGACCUUAUCCACUCUAACAAGCCCCGUUUCCUCCCUGCUUCUGCCACUCGCUGAACACAGUACCUUGGCAUUGCUGUCCUACAUACUCCAUUCUAGCCGUGACCGCUCUUCCGGAACACAAUCUCCUACUAGCUGCUAGGUCUGAGUGACUAACAUAAAAUUCUCCCUGGUCUGUCAGUAUUUGAAAUACAGCCGCUUGUCUUGAAAUGUUUAUUGUCACUUGUUCUUGGUAUAAGAUGAGCAUUUAAAAUACACACACACACACACACACACACGCACGCACAUAUACAGGUAUAUCUGAGGGUUUACUAUGUGCCAAGAACCAUGCUGGAAUCCUUUCAUAAAUAUGGCCUCCAUCAUUCCUGAGAACAAUCCUAUUAAAAUGUGAUGUGAAUGCAUUUUCUCAUUCAUUAAAAGUGUGUGUGUGUGUGUGUGUGUGAGAGAGAGAGAGAGAGAGAGAGAGAGAGAAUAUGACAUCCAUCUGGUAACAGAGACCUGAUCUCAGUUUCCCCAUCUGGGUACUGCUUAUAGAAAUUGAUUUUGGACUUCAAGGUAGAAUAUGAUGCAAGCUAACCCUAGGGGAACCCUGACAAAUUAAAGGGGAAAAUGCCUGUAGGGAGAUGCCAUGCUGAGUCCCCACAGAGCCCAGUUCAGCUGGGGAUGUUGCUCUGAGAACAUGCAGAUGAAUGUCUUAUUUGUUUUGGGCUUCUUAGACUUCAAUCCAUUCCAGGAACCCUUUUAGGGUUUACUAUGCAGCCAAGUGUAAAAUGCAUCUGAUUUUUAGGAAAUUUGCUAAAAGAAGCUAUACAACUCAUGCCAAAAACCUCUCCACAGCAGCUAAAAGUUCCAUUAAAGUAUGUCAUUAAACACAUGUUCCAAAAAGGUUUUGUAUCUCAUUUUGUUCUCUGGGGUCUACAUUUUGAAGUAAAACAUCUUCACUAACUUGG
This 3307-nucleotide long non-coding RNA is filed under the name Homo sapiens (human). RNAcentral's name for it is "HSALNT0355740". The record is from RNAcentral. Lineage: Eukaryota; Metazoa; Chordata; Mammalia; Primates; Hominidae.